This 468-nucleotide ribosomal RNA is filed under the name uncultured bacterium. RNAcentral's name for it is "partial 16S ribosomal RNA". It matches the Rfam family "Bacterial small subunit ribosomal RNA", at positions 28 to 507 of the family's 1533-position model. The record is from RNAcentral.
GACGAACGCUGGCGGCGUGCUUAACACAUGCAAGUCGAACGGAAAGGCCCUGCUUUUGUGGGGUGCUCGAGUGGCGAACGGGUGAGUAACACGUGAGUAACCUGCCCUUGACUUUGGGAUAACUUCAGGAAACUGGGGCUAAUACCGGAUAGGAGCUCCUGCUGCAUGGUGGGGGUUGGAAAGUUUCGGCGGUUGGGGAUGGACUCGCGGCUUAUCAGCUUGUUGGUGGGGUAGUGGCUUACCAAGGCUUUGACGGGUAGCCGACCUGAGAGGGUGACCGGCCACAUUGGGACUGGGAUACGGACCAGAAUGCUACGGGAGGCAGCGGUGGGGAAUAUUGCACAAUAGGCGGGAGCCGGAUGCAGAAACGCCGGGUGCGGGAUGACGGCCUUCGGGUUGAAAACAAAUUUGGACGGUGAUGAAGAGUGAGUGACGGUAAUGGGUAAAGAAGCACCGGCUAACUACGUG